GAUUAAGUGUCGUAAGGGCAUUUGGUGGAUGCCUUGGCAUGCACAGGCGAUGAAGGACGUGAUACGCUGCGAAAAGCCGUGGGGAGCUGCGAAUGAGCUUUGAUCCAUGGAUCUCCGAAUGGGGCAACCCACCUUAAAUGCUUGGGAAUCUGGCGCCGUCGGCGCCGCGAAUAGGAUUUAGCGAAUAGCGAAUAGGGUUCAAAAACUAUUCGCUACUCGCUAUUGGCUAUUCGCUAGCGUCGCAAGGCGACGCCAGGUUCCAAGCAUUGUGAUAAGGUAUCUACACCUGAAUACAUAGGGUGUAAGAAGCGAACGCAGGGAACUGAAACAUCUAAGUACCUGCAGGAAAGGACAUCAACCGAGACUCCGCAAGUAGUGGCGAGCGAACGCGGACCAGGCCAGUGGCAAUUUUGAUUAAAGUGGAACGCUCUGGAAAGUGCGGCCGUAGUGGGUGACAGCCCCGUACGCGUAGAUAUCAAGAUUGUCCUAGAGUAGGGCGGGACACGAGAAAUCCUGUCUGAACAUGGGGAGACCACUCUCCAAGCCUAAGUACUCGUGCAUGACCGAUAGCGAACAAGUACCGUGAGGGAAAGGUGAAAAGCACCCCGACAAGGGGAGUGAAAUAGAACCUGAAACCGGAUGCCUACAAACAGUCGGAGCCUGAAAGGGUGACGGCGUACCUUUUGUAUAAUGGGUCAACGACUUAGUGUAACAAGCAAGCUUAAGCCGGUAGGUGUAGGCGAAGCGAAAGCGAGUCUGAAUAGGGCGAUAUAGUUUGUUGCAUUAGACCCGAAACCGAGUGAUCUAGCCAUGAGCAGGUUGAAGGUUGGGUAACACCAACUGGAGGACCGAACCCGCAUCUGUUGCAAUAGAUUGGGAUGACUUGUGGCUAGGGGUGAAAGGCCAAUCAAACUCGGAAAUAGCUGGUUCUCCGCGAAAUCUAUUUAGGUAGAGCGUCGAGCGAAUACCCCCGGGGGUAGAGCACUGGAUGGGCUAUGGGGACUCACCGUCUUACUGAUCCUAACCAAACUCCGAAUACCGGGGAGUACUACUCGGCAGACACACGGCGGGUGCUAACGUCCGUCGUGAAAAGGGCAACAACCCUAACCUCCAGCUAAGGUCCCCAAGUCAUGGCUAAGUGGGAAAGGAUGUGAGGAUCCCAAAACAACCAGGAUGUUGGCUUAGAAGCAGCCAUCAUUUAAAGAAAGCGUAACAGCUCACUGGUCUAAAUAAGGGUCUUUGCGCCGAAAAUGUAACGGGGCUGAAGCCAUGCACCGAAGCUGAGGAUGUGUAGCAAUACACGUGGUAGCGGAGCGUUCCGUAAGCUGAUGAAGGGAGACCCGUGAGGGCUCCUGGAGGUAUCGGAAGUGCGAAUGUUGACAUGAGUAACGAUAAAGAGGGUGAGAGACCCUCUCGCCGAAAGACCAAGGGUUCCUGCUUAAAGUUAAUCUGAGCAGGGUUAGCCGGCCCCUAAGGCGAGGCAGAAAUGCGUAGUCGAUGGGAACCACGUUAAUAUUCGUGGGCCUGGUGGUAGUGACGGAUUGCACAAGUUGUUCUGGUUUAUUGGAUUAUCAGGGCAGCGGAGCGGUUCCAGGAAAUAGCUCCACCGUAUAGACCGUACCCGAAACCGACACAGGUGGUCAGGUAGAGUAUACCAAGGCGCUUGAGAGAACUAUGUUGAAGGAACUCGGCAAAUUGCACGCGUAACUUCGGAAGAAGCGUGACCCCAAUUUACGCAAGUAUUUUGGGGUGGCACAGACCAGGGGGUAGCGACUGUUUAUCAAAAACACAGGGCUCUGCGAAGUCGCAAGACGACGUAUAGGGUCUGACGCCUGCCCGGUGCUGGAAGGUUAAGAGGAGAGGUGCAAGCUUUGAAUCGAAGCCCCAGUAAACGGCGGCCGUAACUAUAACGGUCCUAAGGUAGCGAAAUUCCUUGUCGGGUAAGUUCCGACCUGCACGAAUGGCGUAACGACUUCCCCGCUGUCUCCAACAUAGACUCAGUGAAAUUGAAUUCCCCGUGAAGAUGCGGGGUUCCUGCGGUCAGACGGAAAGACCCCGUGCACCUUUACUAUAGCUUUACACUGGCAUUCGUGUCGGCAUGUGUAGGAUAGGUGGUAGGCUUUGAAGCGGGGACGCCAGUUUCCGUGGAGCCAUCCUUGAAAUACCACCCUUAUCGUCAUGGAUGUCUAACCGCGGCCCGUCAUCCGGGUCCGGGACAGUGUAUGGUGGGUAGUUUGACUGGGGCGGUCGCCUCCGAAAGAGUAACGGAGGCGCGCGAUGGUGGGCUCAGACCGGUCGGAAAUCGGUCGUCGAGUGCAA
Molecule: ribosomal RNA, 2319 nt
Filed under: Rhizobium chutanense
Lineage: Bacteria; Pseudomonadati; Pseudomonadota; Alphaproteobacteria; Hyphomicrobiales; Rhizobiaceae
Description: bacterial LSU rRNA
Rfam family: Bacterial large subunit ribosomal RNA
Source: RNAcentral